Arachis ipaensis is the source of this 1784-nucleotide non-coding RNA. The record is from RefSeq and is a predicted model, not a curated record. Lineage: Eukaryota; Viridiplantae; Streptophyta; Magnoliopsida; Fabales; Fabaceae.
AAUACAAAUAUAGAACACUUUUGGCCUGGAACAUUAUUAUGUGCUCUCUGGGGUUUGUUGUUGAAGAUUAUGGGGGGAAUUGGAAAGAAGAGGAAGAGAGAGAAGCAACGACCAACCGUUCACCCAAACAACAGGUACGCUGAGACCCCACUGGACUUCGUUCACUUGGCUUCUUUCUACCCUUCCUUCUGUCCCUACGUCAAGUAUUCCACACACAGCAGCGUCGCCCGCUCUUUCCUCGACUGGACCGACUUUAACGCCACCCGCGUCCUCCUCCUUCAUGACCACUCCCUCCACUGGUGGAUCCCUGAUGGCCACCUCUGCCCUACUGUCCCCAAUAGGUCCAACUACAUCCACUGGCUCAAUGACCUUCUCUCUUAUCACAUCAUUCCAACCAACUCCAUUUGUUCUCAACAAGGUAAAGUCAGGGGUUUUGAUAUUGGCACUGGCGCCAAUUGCAUUUACCCGCUUCUUGGCGCUUCCUUUUUUGGUUGGAGCUUUGUUGGAUCAGGCAGCUUUGUCUUUUUCUCGGUUUUCGGAUGUGACUGAUGUUGCUAUUAAGUGGGCCACCAGGAAUGUUAACAGUAAUCCACAUAUUGCUGAGUUGAUUGAGAUUAAAAAGGUUGAAGACAAGGAAAAGGCUUUGUGUGUUGAAGGGUUCCAUGAGGGUGGAGCCAGGAUAAAUAUUUGCAAAGAGUUCUUUGAAAGCUUGGAGGAAGUAGGACUUAAUCCAAAAACUUCUUGAGGUGGCACUUCCAAGGAAAUGGUUUGUCCUGGUGGUGAGAAGGCAUUCGUUGCUUGUAUUAUUGAAGAUAGUGCUGUGCUAAAGCAUCAGUUUCGGUGGUUCACUUCAAUGGACUUCAAUGGUAGGCAGAAAAUCAAGUCUCAAGUCCCUUGUUUCAAAACUUUGGGAGGUUGGGGUCACCAUAGAGAAGACGACUGAAUUUGUCCAGGGUAGAACAUCCAGAUGGGGGCUUGCUUGGUCUUUCUUGCCACCCAUAUAGAAGCCAUCGAUUUCUUUGCCUUAGAAGAAUAACAUGUCCUUCGUGUUUGAGCAAAUUUUCAGGGUCUUCUGCGCCAACAUGGUGCCAUUAAUGUAUUGGAAGCUGUAAAAUCUUACUUCUCUAUGCAUGGCCUGUCAUGUACACUGAAUACAUCUGCUUUCACAGUGGAUAUAAGACUACUUCCUCUAAGUCUCAGAUUUUGAUUUGGUUUUCUUGUCAUGGCUGUGCCUCUUAAGCAUGAUUACAUUUUAACAGGUUGUAGCAUCCAAAGAUGAAUAUGAGUCAAUGUUGAAUGAUUCACCUGUUAUCAAUAAAUCCAUCUAUUUUCAACCUACAGGAGAGACAUCUAAUGGAUCAAGACUAAAUUUAUCUUCCGAUAGGUUUUUCAGCAAAUCCCUGGGACAUUGUUAGUGAAGGGUUCAUUGCAGGAUAGGAGUGGCCCAUUAUCAGGGAUGUUUGCAGCUAUAUUCCAAAAACUGGAGGAAGCUUUGCGCCAUGAAUUUUGUACGAAAUCAGGAUAGGAGUUUUAUUGCUUGCCUGGCUUAUCAUAUGGGAUAGAUUUAUUGGAUAUGAUGAUAAGUUGUGGGAUGAUGAAAAAAGUUCAUGAAUGCUAAUUUCUAUAGUUCAAGGAAACAAGUGACAAGUGAUUGUGCUAUUUGGGUCUAAAAAGGAAAUAGAGAGACAAUCAUUAGGGAUUUUGUUUAAUCAUCUCUGUAUUGAUGGUUCUGCUUGAACUUGAGAAGGGGGUUGAAUCAAGUUAGUUUAAAACUUAACGUUUCA